This 340-nucleotide small RNA is filed under the name Enterococcus canis. RNAcentral's name for it is "cspA thermoregulator". It matches the Rfam family "cspA thermoregulator". Lineage: Bacteria; Bacillati; Bacillota; Bacilli; Lactobacillales; Enterococcaceae. The record is from Rfam by way of RNAcentral.
AAAAGCUCUCGUAUAAUAGAACUAGGUCCAGUGAUGAAAUGGACCCCUAUAAAUUUUUUGGAGGCUUUUUAACAUGGAACAAGGCACAGUAAAAUGGUUCAACAAUGAAAAAGGAUUUGGCUUUAUCACAGUGGAUGGCGGCGACGAUGUAUUCGUACAUUUCUCAGCAAUCCAAGGCGACGGCUUCAAAUCUCUUGAAGAAGGUCAACCUGUUCAAUUUACCAUUGUUGAAGGUGCACGCGGCCCACAAGCAGCUGAAGUAACUAAACUAUAAUUUUAAAUUUUUUAAAAUAAAAUAGCGUUAUUACAGCAAAGCUCGGAGAAAUCCGAGCUUUUUUCC